RNAcentral lists this ribosomal RNA (495 nucleotides) under uncultured bacterium. RNAcentral's name for it is "partial 16S ribosomal RNA". It matches the Rfam family "Bacterial small subunit ribosomal RNA", at positions 28 to 507 of the family's 1533-position model. The record is from RNAcentral.
GAUGAACGCUGGCGGCGUGCCUAAUACAUGCAAGUCGAACGCUGAAGGAGGAGCUUGCUCUUCUGGAUGAGUUGCGAACGGGUGAGUAACGCGUAGGUAACCUGCCUGGUAGCGGGGGAUAACUAUUGGAAACGAUAGCUAAUACCGCAUGACAACAGUUAUUGCAUGAUAACUGUUUAAAAGGGGCAACUGCUCCACUACCAGAUGGACCUGCGUUGUAUUAGCUAGUUGGUGAGGUAACGGCUCACCAAGGCGACGAUACAUAGCCGACCUGAGAGGGUGAUCGGCCACACUGGGACGGAGACACGGCCCAGACUCCUACGGGAGGCAGCAGUAGGGAAUCUUCGGCAAUGGGCGGAAGUCUGACCGAGCAACGCCGCGGGAGUGAAGAAGGUUGUCGGAUCGUAAAGCUCGGUUGUAAGAGAAGAACGAGUGUGAGAGUGGAAAGUUCACACUGUGACGGUAUCUUACCAGAAAGGGACGGCUAACUACGUG